Molecule: ribosomal RNA, 124 nt
Filed under: Danio rerio (zebrafish)
Lineage: Eukaryota; Metazoa; Chordata; Actinopteri; Cypriniformes; Danionidae
Source: RNAcentral
GACCACAGUCAUAUCACCCUGCAGCCCAUGACCGGUUACUCACUGAAGCUAAGCAAGCUGAGCCUAGUCAGUACCUGGAUGGGAAACCACAUAACCACAUGGAAAAUCUAGGUUGCUGUAGGAG